GACGAACGCUGGCGGCGCGCCUAACACAUGCAAGUCGAGCGGAGAUAUUUGAAGGAAGUUUUCGGAUGGAAUUUGGGUAUUUUAGCGGCGGACGGGUGAGUAACGCGUGAGUGACCUGCCUUCCACAGGGGGAUAACGUACCGAAAGGUACACUAAUACCGCAUGAGACCACAGCACCGCCUGGUGCGGGGGUCAAAGGAGCAAUCCGGUGGAAGAUGGACUCGCGUCCGAUUAGAUAGUUGGGGGGGUAACGGCCUACCAAGUCAGCGAUCGGUAGCCGACCUGAGAGGGUGAUCAGCCACAUUGGAACUGAGAGACGGUCCAAACUCCUACGGGAGGCAGCAGUGGGGAAUAUUGGGCAAUGGGGGAAACCCUGACCCAGCGACGCCGCGUGAGGGAAGAAGGUUUUCGGAUUGUAAACCUCUGUUCUUGGUGAAGAGGGAAAGACGGUAGCCAAGGAGGAAGCCCCGGCUAACUACGUGCCAGCAGCCGCCGUAA
RNAcentral lists this ribosomal RNA (498 nucleotides) under uncultured bacterium. RNAcentral describes it as "partial 16S ribosomal RNA". It matches the Rfam family "Bacterial small subunit ribosomal RNA", at positions 28 to 523 of the family's 1533-position model. The record is from RNAcentral.